This 324-nucleotide ribosomal RNA is filed under the name uncultured eukaryote. Its description in RNAcentral is "partial 18S ribosomal RNA". It matches the Rfam family "Eukaryotic small subunit ribosomal RNA", at positions 1470 to 1796 of the family's 1831-position model. The record is from RNAcentral.
CCCUUAGAUGCUCUGGGCCGCGCGCGCGCUACACUGGUCGAUGCAACGAGUUUCUUUCCUUGGCCGACAGGCCUGGGCAAUCUUUGAACAUCGAUCGUGAUCGGGAUAGAUUCUUGUAAUUUUUGAUCUUAAACGAGGAAUUCCUAGUAAACGCAAGUCAUCAGCUUGCAUUGAUUACGACCCUGCCCUUUGUACACACCGCCCGUCGCACCUACCGAUUGAAUGGUCCGGUGAAAUCUCCGGACUGGCGUGAGUCGGAGCAAUCUGACAAACACCGGAAAGUUGAUUAAACCUUACCAUUUAGAGGAAGGUGAAGUCGUAACA